Molecule: unclassified non-coding RNA, 1512 nt
Filed under: Hevea brasiliensis (rubber tree)
Lineage: Eukaryota; Viridiplantae; Streptophyta; Magnoliopsida; Malpighiales; Euphorbiaceae
Source: RNAcentral
GAUUUUUCUUUAUUCAUUUGAUUCCGACUAAUGAAUUUUAAAAUUUAAGACAUUGCCAAUUCAAAAUUACGUUUUAUCAAUGAAAAAAGACAAUAGGUGGGAAAAAUAGUGCCACAACCUUGACACUGCUAAGAGCCAUGAUAUGGUACACCCUAGAAUGGAUUUAUUAUUCGGUUAUCCAUAAACAAUAAGUCUUUGAGUUCCUCAGGUAAAAAAGAGGCCUUGAGUUCACGGCUUGCCGUAAGAUGGCUCUGACUGAUACGACUCGCCCACGGCAUGGGCUCAACAUUAAGAAUGAUCGAUGACUUGGCUCGGUCAUUUAAUGGCUUCUAAUGCACAUGGCUGGAAAAUACCUGGAUAAGACCUGCGAUAUUCUCACCUAGGAUAUUGGGGUCGUUAUCCCACUAAGGCCGAGUAUCUUGGGAUUUGGUGAACGUUCGAUAAUUGUCUUUAACGGCUCAUAAUCAGCUCAUAUAUAGACAUUCAGCAUCAGUACCCGGUGUGCAUACUCACUGAAUAAUCAAAUCUCUCUUCACAAGCUUGCAAGCUCUUCAGUUAUCCAAUUGACUUAAGCAUCGGAACAGCUGUCAUAAGCCGCUGAUCUUACCAUUUUCUCUCACAUCAUGCCAGAAUAAUCAAUACUAAUGCUGCAGAUACUCCAACUUCUUAGUUAAGUUCGGACCUCUGCAAUUCAAUUGCACCAUUCAAGAUAAACCAAUGUCAAAGAAUACACAUAAAAACAUGUAUGCAUGCGCAUGCGCAUGCAUACAUGUUUUUAUGUGUAUUCUUUGACAUUGGUUUAUCUUGAAUGGUGCAAUUGAAUUGCAGAGGUCCGAACUUAACUAAGAAGUUGGAGUAUCUGCAGCAUUAGUAUUGAUUAUUCUGGCAUGAUGUGAGAGAAAAUGGUAAGAUCAGCGGCUUAUGACAGCUGUUCCGAUGCUUAAGUCAAUUGGAUAACUGAAGAGCUUGCAAGCUUGUGAAGAGAGAUUUGAUUAUUCAGUGAGUAUGCACACCGGGUACUGAUGCUGAAUGUCUAUAUAUGAGCUGAUUAUGAGCCGUUAAAGACAAUUAUCGAACGUUCACCAAAUCCCAAGAUACUCGGCCUUAGUGGGAUAACGACCCCAAUAUCCUAGGUGAGAAUAUCGCAGGUCUUAUCCAGGUAUUUUCCAGCCAUGUGCAUUAGAAGCCAUUAAAUGACCGAGCCAAGUCAUCGAUCAUUCUUAAUGUUGAGCCCAUGCCGUGGGCGAGUCGUAUCAGUCAGAGCCAUCUUACGGCAAGCCGUGAACUCAAGGCCUCUUUUUUACCUGAGGAACUCAAAGACUUAUUGUUUAUGGAUAACCGAAUAAUAAAUCCAUUCUAGGGUGUACCAUAUCAUGGCUCUUAGCAGUGUCAAGGUUGUGGCACUAUUUUUCCCACCUAUUGUCUUUUUUCAUUGAUAAAACGUAAUUUUGAAUUGGCAAUGUCUUAAAUUUUAAAAUUCAUUAGUCGGAAUCAAAUGAAUAAAGAAAAAUC